RNAcentral lists this ribosomal RNA (234 nucleotides) under uncultured Glomus. Its description in RNAcentral is "partial small subunit ribosomal RNA". It matches the Rfam family "Eukaryotic small subunit ribosomal RNA", at positions 548 to 785 of the family's 1831-position model. The record is from RNAcentral. Lineage: Eukaryota; Fungi; Glomeromycota; Glomeromycetes; Glomerales; Glomeraceae.
UUGGAGGGCAAGUCUGGUGCCAGCAGCCGCGGUAAUUCCAGCUCCAAUAGCGUAUAUUAAAGUUGUUGCAGUUAAAAAGCUCGUAGUUGAAUUUCGGGAUCAGAUUGUUGGUCGUGCCUCGGUACGCACUGGCAUUAUUGGUUCCUACCUUCUGAAGAACCGCGAUGUCAUUAAUUUGGUGUCGUGGGGAAUCAGGACUGUUACUUUGAAGAAAUUAGAGUGUUUAAAGCAGGC